RNAcentral lists this ribosomal RNA (254 nucleotides) under uncultured bacterium. RNAcentral's name for it is "partial 16S ribosomal RNA". It matches the Rfam family "Bacterial small subunit ribosomal RNA", at positions 524 to 776 of the family's 1533-position model. The record is from RNAcentral.
UACGGGGGGAGCAAGCGUUGUUCGGAUUUACUGGGCGUAAAGGGCGCGUAGGCGGUCAGCACAAGUCAGUUGUGAAAUCUCCGGGCUUAACUCGGAAAGGUCAACUGAUACUGUGCGACUAGAGUGCGGAAGGGGCAACUGGAAUUCUCGGUGUAGCGGUGAAAUGCGUAGAGAUCGGGAGGAACACCAGAGGCGAAGGCGGCGACCUGGACAGAUACUGACACUAAACUACGAAAGCGUGGGGAGCAAACAGG